UACAGAGGUCUCAAGCGUUGUUCGGAUUCAUUGGGCAAAGGGUGCGUAGGCGGCGCGGUAAGUCGGGUGUGAAAUUUCGAGGCUUAACUUCGAAACUGCAUUCGAUACUGCCGUGCUUGAGGACUGGAGAGGAGACUGGAAUUUACGGUGUAGCGGUGAAAUGCGUAGAUAUCGUAAGGAAGACCAGUGGCGAAGGCGGGUCUCUGGACAGUUCCUGACGCUGAGGCACGAAGGCCAGGGGAGCAAACGGG
RNAcentral lists this ribosomal RNA (251 nucleotides) under uncultured bacterium. RNAcentral's name for it is "partial 16S ribosomal RNA". It matches the Rfam family "Bacterial small subunit ribosomal RNA", at positions 524 to 776 of the family's 1533-position model. The record is from RNAcentral.